UAAUUGAUUAUUUUACAUUACAAUAAAAAGAGAUCCAUAUAUAUCUAUUAUCUAUGAAAAAUUUGGAAAAGGUUUAGAAUAUUCAAUGUUUUUACUUUACCUUUGGAUCGAAAAAAAAAGAAAGAGUUGAUUCAGAUAGAUAAGACAUACGGAAUAAUUCGUUUUCAUUUACAGAACAAAUGUCUUUCACAUCAAACUAUAGCAACGAAAAAACUAUACUAAUUGUAUGCCAGUUCCAAAAAAACGCACUUCUAUAUAAAAAAAAAAAAUUCGUAAGAAUUUUUGGAAAAAAAAAGGAUAUACGGCAGGAUUGAAAGCCUUUUCAUUAGCUGAAUCCAUUUUCACAGGUAACUCAAAAGGUUUUAACUCAAAAGGUUUUGGUUCAAUAUUCUUAAUUGUUCUGAAUCUUUGCACAAUGGUCCCAAUAUUGGAAAGUACAAAGUGAAAACCGGCCAAUAAGAAAAUUCCUAGUGAAACAAAAUAUUAUUAAAAGUAAUAUAUUCAUUAACUAAAAACAUUUGUUUAUUUUGAUAGAAAUUAUAAAAAUAAUAUAAAAUAAUAUUUUUUUUAUUCAGAAACAUUAGUUCCUUUUUGAACUAAUUGAUUAUUUUACAUUACAAUAAAAAGAGAUCCAUAUAUAUCCAUUAUCUAUGAAAAAUUUGGAAAAGGUUUAGAAUAUUCAAUGUUUUUACUUUACCUUUGGAUCGAAAAAAAAAGAAAGAGUUAAUUCAGAUAGAUAAGACAUACGGAAUAAUUCGUUUUCAUUUACAGAUCAAAUGUCUUUCACAUCAAACUAUAGCAACGAAAAAACUAUACUAAUUGUAUGCCAGUUCCAAAAAAACGCACUUCUAUAUCAAAAAAAAAAAUUCGUAAGAAUUUUUGGAAAAAAAAAGGAUAUACGGUAGGAUUGAAAGCCUUUUCAUUAGCUGAAUCCAUUUUCACAGGUAACUCAAAAGGUUUUAACUCAAA
RNAcentral lists this long non-coding RNA (969 nucleotides) under Lathyrus oleraceus (garden pea). RNAcentral's name for it is "Pisum sativum (pea) long non-coding RNA (PSAT_LNC042262)". The record is from RNAcentral. Lineage: Eukaryota; Viridiplantae; Streptophyta; Magnoliopsida; Fabales; Fabaceae.